RNAcentral lists this long non-coding RNA (1538 nucleotides) under Notechis scutatus (mainland tiger snake). RNAcentral describes it as "lncRNA (ENSNSUG00000002888.1)". Lineage: Eukaryota; Metazoa; Chordata; Lepidosauria; Squamata; Elapidae. The record is from RNAcentral.
AUAAAAUUAUGCUAUUAAAACUGUAAUUUUUACAAGGGAAUCUGUAUUUAUGGCCUCUGUAUUUAUGGCCUCCUCCCUCCUCCUCCUCCUCCUCCUUCCCCUCCUCCCUCCUCCUCCUUCCUCUCCUCCUCCUCCUCCUCCUCCUCCUCCUUCCUCCUCCUCCCACUUCUAGUAUAUCCUCGGGGCAAAGGAACAGUUUUAAUUCCUUAUUUUGAGCAUCCAAUUUGGAUCAUCCACUGCUGAGAUGCUUGCAUAAAAACUGUGUUUAUGUGUCUGUGUGUGUUUAAAUCCUUUUGUUGGGAUAAUGCCAUUAUUAAAGGAAAAGGAAUGAUUAAGCCAAGAACCACUGAUCGAUGGUAAGGCAGACAAAUCUCAGGACUAAGUAUCUUGGUUUUUCUUUUCCUAGCUUCCACUGAAGGAUCCUUUGAAAGAAGAGUUUCACCUUGAAGGAUGCUUCAAACCAACAUGGGGAUAUUUUGGACAACCUUAUGCUUCCUGGUAUAUGGUUUGAACACAGACCUGGGUGUCCUGGCUAUCGCGAGCUCCCAGCCCCAGGAGGACUCAGAAGGCCUUGACAGUCCUUCAGAAGACACCAUAUCUCCAGAGAUGCUACAGGAGAUGCUGUGGUUUUUCCGAAGAGAAGACCCAUCUGCAUGGAAUUAUUCUAUCCUGGUCCUUUCCGUUCUCGUUCUGCUCAUUGGUGUUGUGCUCCUGGGAGCAAAUAUUAGGGCCAACAGAAACCAGAAGGCCUUUCUCUUACGCAAAGAAGGCUAUGAAGUCACCCCGCUGGAUGAGGCAGAAGCGAAGCAAGCGUUUGUGUUGCUAAACAAAGAGAAUCCGGAUCAAGUUGGAGACAAUUUGCUUUCCAAAACACUGACCACGGGAGACGUGAUGGUACGCUGGAAGGAUGGGAAAACCUCACCCCUGUAUGCUGAUGCCAGCGAAGCAGAAGCAUAGUACCUCAUGUCUAUAUUUUGGCUCUUUGGGAAACCUGGGAGGAUUUCUGGACUAUUGACAUUUUUGGAAUGCGGGUUUCAAAGCCAAAUUCAUUAAGCAGAAUCAAAAAGCCAGCAAGACAUAAUGACUGCUUUUGAGUUUUACAAAAUCAAUAAUCCACCAAACAAUUCAUCUACCAGCUAUCUUUACAUGAUACGUUGAACUAGGUUGGCCUAGUGGCUUCCUUCACACAACAGGUUAAGCCUGGUCAGUUGGUUCAGGUGGUUCCUGUUAGUGUUAACCAAUUUUAUUUUGGGCCCUAAUGUAGUGUCACCGGAGCAUUCACGGGGUCAAACAAAGCUGUGGCAGGCCCCUCAAAGCAGCCAGAACUUCAAUUGCACAGUUGGGUUACCAUCUUGACUUGACCAUCUGUGAGGAGACCUCUGAUGUCAACCUGCCUCAAUGGGUUGAGUAGGGGGUGAACCCAGAAAAAGGGCCAAUUCAAGAACCAAUUAAGGAUAUGGUGUGAAGGUUGUUGCUUUGCUAUUUUGCGCCAACCCACAAAAAAAAUAAAUCUGUCAGAUUAUCUGGAAAGAUGUUCA